Molecule: long non-coding RNA, 7285 nt
Organism: Homo sapiens (human)
Lineage: Eukaryota; Metazoa; Chordata; Mammalia; Primates; Hominidae
Exons: 4
Source: RefSeq, a predicted model, not a curated record
CAUACACACAGAGGUUUUUAUAUGGCUGAGCUGGGAGAAGCCAAGUAAAACACUUUUUCUUUUGUUUCUAGACUAUUUAGCAAAUACGAGGAAAAUGACGUGGCACUGAAGAGGGGACUUAGAGAGACAGGGCCAGUGGGUGGAGGAGGAGAGGACGUGCCGGGAAAAGAAUGCAGAAAGGAGAUUUUUUUUGGCCACAGAGUUUUUGCUAAAAGCAGCUAGGAAGCCCCACGGCUCCAGUGUGCGUGAACUCCUGGUAAUUUCCUUGGGGAAUCCCGCCUCAGAGAACCUCUACCCCGAGAAUUAGGAGGAAGCUGAGCUAGGCUGACUUGAGGAAAGAGAGCUGGAGGAGCGGGGUUCAACAUUUUUCAAAAUAAAAAGUUGGUAGAAUAAUAGGAAGCCAUGAGGACCAAGAAGCUCACAUUUCCAAGGCUUUCUAAGUUUCACCUUGAAGCAAGAUACAUCAUAAAGCAUUGUCUAGGUACAACUUGCACUUUCCUGUCCAAGCCUCAGACCCUGUUCUUCAUCUGGGCCCACAGAGCAACAGCUUCCACUUUUGUGGCCAAAGAAAAAUGCUAACCAGCUUGUAAUUGCUGUAAGGAGAUGGAGUUUCACUUACAUCCAGGCUGGAAUGCAGUGGCGUGAUCUUGGCUCACUGGAACCUCCACCUCCUGGGUUCAAGCAAUUCUCGUGCUUCAGCCUCCCGAGUAGCUGGGAUUAUAGGUACGCUCUUUCAUGCCCAGCUAAUUUUUGUAUUUGUAGUACAGAUGGGGUUUUGCCAUGUUGGCCAGGCUGGUCUUGAACUCCUGGCCUCAAGUGAUCUGCCUGCCUCAGCCUCCCAAAGUGCUGGGAUUACAGGUGUGAGCCACCAUGCCCAACCUCAUUUAUUUAUUCGUGUGUGUGUGUGUGUGUGUGUGUGUGUGUGUGUGUGUAUAACUGCCUAAUAGCUUAUACCUUAAGAGAGCCUUAAAUAGUAUAAGAAAGAAAAGAUAAACAAAGGGCAAGACUGUCACAUCUGUGUGGCUACAAAAGGAAAAUAUUCCUUACACAGCAUAUUUCCUACAUGAUUGACAAAGCUAGCAAUCUGCAUUCAAAAGCAUGUAGCCCAUGUACCACAGGCUACAUACAGGCUCUCAGGCUAAUGAUCAGAAUAACAAUUAUGAGUAACUUUUCCCGAAUGCUUACUAAGUGCCAGGCACUACACUAAGUGUUGUUUUGUUUUGUUUUGUUUUUGAGACAGAGUCUCACUGUGUCACCCAGGCUGGAGUGCAGUGGUGAGAUCUUGGAUCACUGCAACCUCCUCCCAGGUUCAAGCGAUUCUCCUGCCUCAGCCACCCAAGUAGCUGGGAUUACAGGCGUGUACCACCAUGCCCAGCUACUUUUUGUGUUUUUAGUAGAGACCGGGUUUCACUAUGUUGGCCAGGAUGGUCUAAAACUCCUGACCUAAGGUGAUCCACCUGCCUCAGCCUCCCAAAGUGCUGGGAUGACAGGCAUGAGCCACUGUGCCCGGCCUUACACUAAGUGUUUUGCAUAAUGUUAUAUGCCUUGUUUAAUCCUCAUUUUUCGAAGGAGGCUCCUGAGACUCACAGAAGUGAGCUGCACAGAGUCAUGUGAUUGAUAAGUGGUUAAGCUGAGGUUCAAAUACAGGCCACUGAAUUUCAAACUAAAAACCCACAAUCAUUCCAGGCACCACCUUAAAGUUCUACUUAUAAGGGGCCAGCGAGUGGCACACGGCCCAGGACGAAAAAGUGAGUGAGGAUAUUCAAACACAAGUCACAUCACGACAUGGCAAAAACAGAAAAACUUUGAUGUUCUCCAUCUGUUCUUCAGACAGAGAGCUCAAACAUAAGAGAGUAGGGCUCAACUUUAAGACAGAAACUGCCCAGCACCAUCUGCAGGUGGAUUGCAUUGUUUGGGGAGGCAGUCACAUGACCCAGAUCUGCUUCCUGCCUCUGCUUGCAGAAGUCUAACACUCUGAGGGCUAACACCAAUCCUGCUUGCAGGAUUCUAACACUCUGAGGCUCCGAGGUUGUUAAAGUCCCUGUCUCCCACACUACCAACCCCACUGUCAGCUUGACCAUGAGUGAAUGCCUUCACCAAUGUAUAGAAAGGACCUUGCUAAUAGGAAAAAAGAUGAGCCUGGAGCCUAAACAGGAAGGCUUUCUCUUCCACGGAUUGGAAGCACCGCUAAAGAAGCUGGCUGACUUGUGAGGUUCGGGGAUAACGAAGUAUGAAUGUACAGCUCCGGGUACUGUGCUUGGAGCAUAUGAAACAUGCAACACAUGACUAGUGUUGUUAUACAGUUUUCAUUCCCACAGUCUCUAACAAAAUAUAGUCAUACGUCUUUUUUUAAAAAGACGUGUUGGAUUCUAGUGCUGAGAAGAAGAGAAGCUACCACUAAUAUAGCAUGAGAGAGUGGCAGACAGAGAGAUCCCUGGGGACCCACAUUUUUCAGGGAGAAACCCCAAUUCUUUCUGCCCUUCAAGCAGUGGCACACAGCAGAAAGUGAAAUCAUUCAUUGGACAGCUUGAUUGGAAACUGUGAUUUAUAUUACAGGGAUCUUUUUGCCACAAUAGCCUAAUCUAAAUCAGGCCAUUAUUUCAUACAAGCCAUUAUUUCAUAAAGUUUUACAUUUUAACCUGUAACUCAGGUACCAAGUUUCCUCAAGCUACACAUUCCCACUCAUCAACAAUAUCAUUGGUUUGACAUUAUACAUACAAAAAGAGCAAUUUUUUAAGAAAAACAGUUAUAAGCUGAUACAUCAUUUUCAACACACCCUAUAUAUAAAGUUGCUGUGUUUCAGAGGUUAUUUGGAUUAUUUUAAUCUAUUGAAAAAAAAAGCUAACACGACACUUUUGGACAGUUCAGCCUCCUUUUUCUUUGCUUUGAUGGUGUUCUUUUCUCCUUUUCUCCCUCUAGUUUUUAUCUCUGUUCAAAAGCAAGAUUUUAAAUCCUGUAAGUAGAAAUUGGAACAACUUCUGGGCUUUGCACAGCACCUAGCUAGUUCUUCAGGAUAUUCUUUGUUCUAUUUUUUAACAUACAUUUUUAAAGGUAAUAAUAAACUAAACUUUGACCUUUAAAAUCUUCAAAUAAAUCAAUCAGCAGAGAAAUAACUAGGUAAAGAGCAGAAUGGAAAACAAUCAAACAAGGCUGGAAAGUCAUAGAAAAUUCCUAAAAUUGUGUGUUUGUAUGUGUGUGUGUGUGUGUGUGCAUGUUGUUGUUCUUAUUGUUCAUUUGUAUAUGUGUGAUUUGAGCAACAUUUGAGAAAAAAAAAAUAAGAAAAUGAGGAAACUGGUAGUUGCUUUUGAAGUCAUUUUAUAAGGCAAAUAUUUGUAAAGCAAAGGAAAAGAGAAAGGGGUCGUGCAAUCAGUGCCAUUCCCUGAGCCCCUGCCUGCACCAGUCAGCUCUAGCCUCUGCAGGGCCCUUGUCUGGGCAUUGUCCCUUGGGCUCUUUGUUCUUAGUUGCCAGGAGAAAGUGGUCAUUGUUUCUCUACUUCUCUUCCUCUUUUUGUUUUUUAUUUUUUUCUUCUUCUUCUCUUCCAUCUCCUCAUCUUUUUCCCUAUUCUCCUUCCUUUGCUUUUAAAUCCAGUUUGGUAUAGAGGUCCUUUCUUGAUUUACUUACAACCAUGUUUCUUCUCCUGGUACAGAUAACUUUCUUUGAACAAAGUAUGACCUGUGAAUCAAAACUCCUGCUACCAAAGUCCCAUGUUGUACCACACUAAAACCUACAAUGUCCUCCCUGAAGUUGUUUUCAUGGCUCAACGAACAUAAGAGCCAAGUCAAAGCCAGACAUAAGAUGAGUUCAUAUUUGAGGCUAAGGGAAAAUUACUUCUGGGGGAAGUAAUGUUUUGGCUUAAAUUCACAUGAAAUAUAAAUGACUAAUAUCAAAUAUUUUGCUGAAGCAGAGAUUGAUGGAGAAAAGGAUGAAGAUAGAAAAGGGUGUCAAGCCCUUUAAAAGAAAGGGAGCUCUCAGUAGAUGAGAGAAAAUUAUGCAGAAAACGUAGGCUAGUUCACUGAAGGCCAACUGGGUAUGGAGUUCCACUUUGCCUUGAACUUGCUCUACCCUUCAAUGUCAGGGUUAUGUAAAAGUGUCCAGUUAUGGUCAUUCAGAAUCAGACAGAGCAUAAACACCUCUCUCAGAAGAACGGGAAGUGUCUACAGAGCAUCAUAGAAUGCCAGACAGUCUAAUGGUCUAAUUCAGCCUCACAAAAAUGUGGCUUCACUGUCCUACUCUAGGCGGCUAUCUGAACUUUUCAGAUUAAUAAUAAGAGCUAAGGAAGUUAUUCCAUACAGUCUGUGAUUGAAUCUGUAGUAGAGUUUGUCUGAAUUGGCUCGACAUCCUUAUGAGUUACCUCCCUGUUGACCAAGAAGUCCACAGGCCCACCAUCAAAAUGCUCACUCACUUUGCCUCUCUCCCUCCCACUUUCUCCUUCCCUCUCUCUCUCUCUCCCCGCCUGCCACCCCACAACAUACACCUUAGGUUUGGGUCAGCCAACAACUCGUAACCCCAGCGCAGCUCCUGAAGCCCCAGACAACUACCUUCUCACCUAGGAACUUAGGCAAAGCUGGAAUUUCCAAGUUUGUCACAAGACAGUUUGUUGGGUGCAUCCCACCCCGUUGCUCCCCUAGCGAAUUGCAUUUCUCUGUGAUGACUUUACUCUUAUGGACCUUCUACAUUCUCAGGAAUUUAAUGGCCCUAAUUUGCACUAGACCCAUCUAACUCCAAAAGUCCAUGGCAAGAAGCAAUUUGUCAUUUGCUGAGAACUCUCUCUAAUGUUGCAUUUUCUAGGGAAGAAGGUUGGUUGGUUUGUACAAUCAAAAUUUCUUACUGAGGCUUAGUUGCCUCUUCUAAAAUUUUGCUUCCAUGGCUAUGUUAUGGCAUUAUUCUCAAGGGAUUACAAAAGGUCUCCUUAUAUGCAUUUCCUUCAGGAAUGUCAAUAAUCUACUAUAGAUUUUCUAUAAAUAAUAAUAGCCUCACUUUUUGAAUGCUUACUAUGGAUCAGGCACUAUACAUUUGUCAGAUCAUUUAUGGUCAAAAAAAUCCUGUAGCCAGUCCAACUACUAUUCCCAUUUUACAAAUGGUAAAAUUGAGACUCAGUGAGCUUGAGAUGCUAAUUAGUGGAGACAUUCUAGGGUAUAAACUCAGGCAGUCUAACUUUAGAAGCCUAUGAGCUUAAACACUACACUAUCAUGCCCCAUAUGUGCUUCUAGCCACUAUAUAAUGCCACUACAUAAAUCUUUUACAAAAGACUGGGAGCUCCUCCCAUGUAAUAUGUGUGCAGAUUUACUCAACUUUACAUUCCCGUAGGGCCUGGCAUGUAGGAAGAUGGCCUGCAUAAAAGCCAUAAGAUGGCCAGGAGAGAAACAUGAAGUCUCCCUGGUUGGUACACAGAACAUUCUCCCACACCUUCCUAUUAUAUGAUCUGUGUUCAUGGCUAGCAACAGUGCCCUAGGAAACAUAAGCUAAACAAGACCCUGCAGUGUCACUUGGAAUAAAUGAAAGUUCCUUUCUUCAUCUCUGGACUUUACAAUGGGGCAGUUCCCAAACUUCCCAAACAGAAUUGCUGUCUCAGCACAUUUUCCCCAAGCCCACACUCUAACUUCUUAAAGAGAACCAGGCUUGAGGCAGAAAUGAGAGCUCUCCUUUCUUGACUCCCCUAAAUCCCUAUCCUUGCAGUCUGUUCUGGCUCCAAACGUGAGCAGUGCUCACUCUGGCCAUUUCUGAGGCCCAGGUGAAUUUUACCCACAAAGGAAACGAUUGUGUUACCCCAUCCAUAUCAGUAAGGGUGAUCUAUGUUGUUAUUCAGUUGGCUACUUCUGGCGAUGGCGCUUUUAAACGUGACUAGCACCCCUUUAGAUAAUUUCAAAUGUAUUUGGAAUGUAACAUAACAGAACACAUUGUGUAAAACUGUGCAUAGCAAAACCAUUUCUCCAACAGCGAUUUCAGUGGACCAGAGUCUGCUUCUUUCAGAAGCCCCCUGGAUGCCUUAAGAAUAUUUGUCUCAUUAUCCCCAUUAUUUUCCCCUCCAGGGAACCGUCCCUAAUAAACUUUGCUAUGUCUCUUGUCCUGGCUAGUUUUAGUAUGAGCCAGGGGAAAGAUUUCAGAAAAGCAAGAGUUCUUUUCUGCCUGGGCUUGCAAAAUUGUCUUUUGCUGCAGAUGCAUCUGUUAGUAAUGAUUGAGACAAUCUGUGCAGCAUAAGAGAACUUGUUGAGAGAUGACUCUAAAAAGAUCCUCUUCCAAUAAAUGUUUAACUUCUUAGUACCUUUUCAUGACAGCAGGAUCAUGAAUUUAACGUCCCCAGAAGAUGAGAUGAUGUCUUCUCACUUGGCAUGACCAUCUUAAAGUAAUGCUUAUACCUUGGAACCAGAGGUCCUUGAGAACUUCAGGGGCCCCAAAACUAUAAAUAUUACCCGAAAGGAUACUUCAGGUUCAAGUACCAUUCCCAAGUUCUGGCCCUCUCUGAUAAGCUCAGGAUAAUUGAAUUUAGUAAAGAUGAUCAUUGAGAGGACUGGAAUCCCUCAGCCUUCUUCACGUGGCCAAGAAGACCUCAAGUCUAAAAUCAAAUUUUCAGGAGGCUGAGAACAUCAGAAAACUAUUAGUUCUCUAACCCACUUCUUCUCUUAUCAUCUUUUUGCCUCUGUCUGGAAAUGAAAUCAGCAUGGUUUCCAUCCAGAGAUUUAGAGUAGUCUGGGUAUAAUACCAGGCCCAAUGGGCCCAAGAGAAAACCGGAGUCAUCUUCGGGUAUCCCAUUUCCCUCGUAGCUUUAUUUGUCAACACAACACAUUAGCUGAUAAGGUAAGUUCACUCUACUCAAGCAGGGAUUACAGACUCUGAGGAGUACAAGGUGACAUGCAGGAGGACAAGAAGCACAGGAAAACCCAUGGUACAUUUUCCUGGAGUGCCAAUAGAAGAGGAAAUGGCACUAUUUUUGGAGCAUUACAAACUAGAGUAAAACGCAAACUUGUAGUAAAACGCAAAAUUCAUGGACUUUCAAAAUAAAACUUAAAACUGCAAAUACAUUUUGAGUUUGAGGCAUGAGCUUCCCACUCCUUGCCUAGAUCUCAGGGGGACACAAUGUUUGUUUUCCUCCUCCAUUAGGGGUGCUUUGAUGGGUAUUUGAGAAAAACUGUCCAUAUGUACCUCUCCCAGGGCUAUUGACAUUUUAACAAGGUACUCGUAUUGAAAAAAAAAAAAACUGUUACAAAAAAAAAAAAAACAGAAUUAAAGAAAAAGUAAAAAAUGAAAGAAGUGUUUACAGGAGUCUUCAUAUAGUUAUGGCAUUACA